Halichondria panicea is the source of this 700-nucleotide long non-coding RNA. RefSeq lists it as uncharacterized. Lineage: Eukaryota; Metazoa; Porifera; Demospongiae; Suberitida; Halichondriidae. The record is from RefSeq and is a predicted model, not a curated record. The transcript is spliced from 2 exons.
AGCCGCGGCCGCUGCAAAAAGUUGUCAGUGAUAAAAUCAGUACAUGAAUGCUCAUACACCACUGCACUCCCUGAGCUGAUGAGUUCGAGUGCAGUGCAGUGGGACUCAACUACUCUGGACUCAACUGAUUUCUGCUAAGCAGGUUACAUUGAUGUGACACAACUCCCCAGUCAAAACCGUAACGUCUUUGUCUGAUAGUGGACUACAGAUGGAUAUUGAUUCUAAUCAAAGCAAGCAUCCUGCAAUGUACGCUUCUAUUUCUGAGCUCACACUACAAAACAAUAAGCAUACUUCAGAUUCUGGAAGCAAUAGCACCAAGAUGGUACGAGUGAUUGGUAAACUGGCUUCAUAUGACGUUUCAUCUAGCAGGCUACUAAUACAAGACUGCACCCUUCCUUCCAACACUCUACUAUUGGAUACAUCAAGAAUUGAACCGUUUACUCAUAGAGAAAAUGCCUUGUGUCUUUUUAUUGGUGAAUUAGAUAGAGAAAACAUUGAAACAGUAGUGUUGAAAGUAUUAUUGUAUAGGUGUGUUAACCAGUUAAGUAUAGAGACAUAUAAUAAGGCCCAUUCCAUUAGAAUGGGGAGUAUACAUUAGUGAUGAAUCCAUUAACCGCCAUGACACUGACACAUUAAUUUUUUGCAAAAAUUAUGAAUUAUAUAAAUUAUUAUGAAUUAUAUAAUUCUGUGAUUGAAAAUA